ACCAAAUGAUAGACACUAAUCUCCAUUUCUUAGAAAUGAGGAAAUAAAACCACAAAAUGUACAAAGUCAGAUCUAAAACCCCUACCUUUGGGUCCAGACUUUUCUUCUAAAGUUCUGCAGUUAUACCCAGAUGCCACAGAAACAUAGGAUCUUAGAGGAGAAGUAACUUAGUCUACUCAAUGUGAAGACAACAAGGAUGAAGACCUUUAUGAUGAUUUACUUCCGCUUAAUAAAUAUCUUCAGUUCCUACCUGACAUGAUUUAUCCUCUGGAAGAAAACAAAUCCUGUGGUGACCAGAAUGACCACAAAAAGAGAGAGUUUCACAUAAAGAAUGAUCAGUAAGGACAACGCUGGAGAUCCUGAGGUUCUGAGACCUUUAAAUACAGACAGGGGUGAAAAAUCAUUUCAAGCAUUCUUCUAGUUACAAAUUAGAGUCAAUCAUUUUAAAGAACAUUUUAAAAUAUUCUUAAGAGUUCAUGGACUGUCAUAAUCAUAAAACCUUCUAAAUUAUGACUCAAAUGUUACUAAUAUACCAUUCUUUCAUGACAGAGUUUAGGAACCAUGUUUGUGUUUUGUACAUCGUAGGUUUCUGACAAAUUUUCUGAACAAAUAAAUGCACACUACGCAUUGCUAAUACUUUCCAAUUUUAUAAGAAAAGCAAUAUGUCAAGCUUUCCCCUGUAUAUUCCAACUUCC
RNAcentral lists this long non-coding RNA (695 nucleotides) under Homo sapiens (human). Its description in RNAcentral is "CD200R1L antisense RNA 1, transcript variant 2 (CD200R1L-AS1)". The record is from RNAcentral. Lineage: Eukaryota; Metazoa; Chordata; Mammalia; Primates; Hominidae.